This 353-nucleotide unclassified non-coding RNA is filed under the name soil metagenome. RNAcentral's name for it is "partial contains 5.8S ribosomal RNA, internal transcribed spacer 2, and large subunit ribosomal RNA". The stretch from base 1 to 120 matches the Rfam family "5.8S ribosomal RNA", at positions 35 to 154 of the family's 154-position model. The record is from RNAcentral.
GAUGAAGAACGCAGCGAAAAGCGAUAAGUAAUGUGAAUUACAGAAUUCAGUGAAUCAUCGAAUCUUUGAACGCACAUUGCGCCCGCCAGUAUUCUGGCGGGCAUGCCUGUUCGAGCGUCAUUACUACCCUCAGGCCCCCGGGCCUGGCGUUGGGGAUCGGCGGAAGCCCCCUGCGGGCACAACGCCGUCCCCCAAAUACAGUGGCGGUCCCGCCGCAGCUUCCAUUGCGUAGUAGCUAACACCUCGCAACUGGAGAGCGGCGCGGCCACGCCGUAAAACACCCAACUUCUGAAUGUUGACCUCGAAUCAGGUAGGAAUACCCGCUGAACUUAAGCAUAUCAAUAAGCGGAGGA